This 223-nucleotide non-coding RNA is filed under the name Listeria floridensis. RNAcentral describes it as "T-box sequence". It matches the Rfam family "T-box leader". Rfam says of the family: Uncharged tRNA acts as the effector for transcription antitermination of genes in the T-box leader family. T-boxes are found upstream of many aminoacyl-tRNA synthetase genes and some amino acid biosynthetic genes usually in Gram-positive bacteria. The anticodon of a specific tRNA base pairs to a specifier sequence within the T-box motif, and the NCCA acceptor tail of the tRNA base pairs to a conserved bulge in the T-box antiterminator hairpin. Lineage: Bacteria; Bacillati; Bacillota; Bacilli; Caryophanales; Listeriaceae. The record is from RNAcentral.
ACGAAAACUUGGAUGGGAAGAAGUACGAAACGGGAAACUCACAGAGAGAGCCGAUUUUUGCUGAGAGCGGUUUAGUUGGAACGUUUUGGAAAUGCCUCCCGGAGUUCUCAUGGGAAAUCAUUCGCGAGUAUCAUGAGACGGCGCAGGUCGUUAAAACUAGUAUGAGGUGGGACUUUUUCUAGGAAAGUUCAAUCAGAGUGGAACCGCGCAAGGCGUCUCUGUG